GACGAACGCUGGCGGCGUGCUUAACACAUGCAAGUCGAACGGAAAGGCCCUGCUUUUGUGGGGUGCUCGAGUGGCGAACGGGUGAGUAACACGUGAGUAACCUGCCCUUGACUUUGGGAUAACUUCAGGAAACUGGGGCUAAUACCGGAUAGGAGCUCCUGCUGCAUGGUGGGGGUUGGAAAGUUUCGGCGGUUGGGGAUGGACUCGCGGCUUAUCAGCUUGUUGGUGGGGUAGUGGCUUACCAAGGCUUUGACGGGUAGCCGGCCUGAGAGGGUGACCGGCCCCAUUGGGACUGAGGUACGGCCCAGACUCCUACGGGAGGCAGCAGUGGGAAAUAUUGCACAAUGGGCGGAAGCCUGAUGCAGCAACGCCGCGUGCGGGAUGACGGCCUUCGGGUUGUAAACCGCUUUCGCCUGUGACGAAGCGUGAGUGACGGUAAUGGGUAAAGAAGCACCGGCUAACUACGUG
This 468-nucleotide ribosomal RNA is filed under the name uncultured bacterium. RNAcentral's name for it is "partial 16S ribosomal RNA". It matches the Rfam family "Bacterial small subunit ribosomal RNA", at positions 28 to 507 of the family's 1533-position model. The record is from RNAcentral.